GGGGCUGAUUCUGGAUUCGACGGGAUUUGCGAAACCCAAGGUGCAUGCCGAGGGGCGGUUGGCCUCGUAAAAAGCCGCAAAAAAAUAGUCGCAAACGACGAAACCUACGCUUUAGCAGCUUAAUAACCUGCUUAGAGCCCUCUCUCCCUAGCCUCCGCUCUUAGGACGGGGAUCAAGAGAGGUCAAACCCAAAAGAGAUCGCGUGGAUGCCCUGCCUGGGGUUGAAGCGUUAAAACUAAUCAGGCUAGUCUGGUAGUGGCGUGUC
Molecule: transfer-messenger RNA, 265 nt
Filed under: Salmonella enterica
Lineage: Bacteria; Pseudomonadati; Pseudomonadota; Gammaproteobacteria; Enterobacterales; Enterobacteriaceae
Description: partial transfer-messenger RNA
Rfam family: transfer-messenger RNA
About the family: Bacterial tmRNA, also known as 10Sa RNA or SsrA, is named for its dual tRNA and mRNA-like properties. Its role is to liberate the mRNA from a stalled ribosome.
Source: RNAcentral